Pantherophis guttatus is the source of this 493-nucleotide long non-coding RNA. RefSeq lists it as uncharacterized. Lineage: Eukaryota; Metazoa; Chordata; Lepidosauria; Squamata; Colubridae. The record is from RefSeq and is a predicted model, not a curated record.
AUGCCAACAGGAAACUGACCAGCAGAAUAUGAGCACAACAUUGUUCAUGUUCCCUAUGACACUGAAAGAAUUCUACUUGACUGAUAUUACAGGUUCUGCAAGCUGAAUGCCCACCCACAGAGUUGACUGUAUACCCCAUUGCUUUAUGAGUCACUUUGUGUGACUAGUAGCUUGGAUGAACUUCCUUUUCAACAGUUUCUGCAGAAGGCUCCUUUCAGAGCAUUCUUUAGCGAACAGAUGGUGCCAAAGGAAUGGAUCAGAACUGCCUGGUUAAUUAAGCGAUGUAAGGAAGUCUAGCAUCAUUUGCCUGCAAAGAGGAUAACCACAGUGGGGAGGGAAGAAGACUGAUAUCAAUUUUCCCUCGUCAUAUUAUCACUCAAACUAAACCUACAGGCAAUCUGAUGCCCAACCAGACUUCAACUGCAUUUUCCACUUCAGAGAUGGUCAUGCUAGCAUUCGUAGUCAAAAUAAAGAAUUUUGUGAAGCCUUAAAA